UGUGAGUAGUAGAGUUUGAUCCUGGCUCAGGACGAACGCUGGCGGCGUGCUUAACACAUGCAAGUCGAACGGUGAACCGCUUUCGGGCGGGGAUCAGUGGCGAACGGGUGAGUAACACGUGGGUAACCUGCCCUCCACUCUGGGAUAACUCCGGGAAACCGGGGCUAAUACCGGAUACGACCUUCAGGCGGCAUCGCCUCGGGUGGAAAGUUUUUCGGUGGAGGAUGGACCCGCGGCCUAUCAGCUUGUUGGUGGGGUAAUGGCCUACCAAGGCUUUGACGGGUAGCCGGCCUGAGAGGGCGACCGGCCACACUGGGACUGAGACACGGCCCAGACUCCUACGGGAGGCAGCGAGUGGGGAAUAUUGCAGCAAUGGGCGAAAGCCUGAGUGCAGCGACGCCGCGUGAGGGAUGA
RNAcentral lists this ribosomal RNA (414 nucleotides) under uncultured Actinomycetales bacterium. RNAcentral describes it as "bacterial SSU rRNA". It matches the Rfam family "Bacterial small subunit ribosomal RNA", at positions 1 to 411 of the family's 1533-position model. The record is from RNAcentral. Lineage: Bacteria; Bacillati; Actinomycetota; Actinomycetes; Actinomycetales.